This 253-nucleotide ribosomal RNA is filed under the name uncultured bacterium. RNAcentral describes it as "partial 16S ribosomal RNA". It matches the Rfam family "Bacterial small subunit ribosomal RNA", at positions 524 to 776 of the family's 1533-position model. The record is from RNAcentral.
UACGUAGGGGGCAAGCGUUGUCCGGAAUCAUUGGGCGUAAAGCGCGCGUAGGCGGCCCUGUAAGUCCGUUGUGAAAGUCAAAGGCUCAACCUUUGAAAGCCGAUGGAUACUGCAGGGCUAGAGUCCGGAAGAGGCGAGUGGAAUUCCUGGUGUAGCGGUGGAAUGCGCAGAUAUCAGGAGGAACACCAAUAGCGAAGGCAGCUCGCUGGGACGGUACUGACGCUGAGACGCGAAAGCGUGGGGAGCAAACAGG